AGAGUUUGAUCAUGGCUCAGGACGAACGCUGGCGGCGUGCCUAAUACAUGCAAGUUGAGCGCUGAAGGUUGGUACUUGUACCAACUGGAUGAGCAGCGAACGGGUGAGUAACGCGUGGGGAAUCUGCCUUUGAGCGGGGGACAACAUUUGGAAACGAAUGCUAAUACCGCAUAAAAACUUUAAACACAAGUUUUAAGUUUGAAAGAUGCAAUUGCAUCACUCAAAGAUGAUCCCGCGUUGUAUUAGCUAGUUGGUGAGGUGAAGGCUCACCAAGGCGAUGAUACAUAGCCGACCUGAGAGGGUGAUCGGCCACAUUGGGACUGAGACACGGCCCAAACUCCUACGGGAGGCAGCAGUAGGGAAUCUUCGGCAAUGGACGAAAGUCUGACCGAGCAACGCCGCGUGAGUGAAGAAGGUUUUCGGAUCGUAAAACUCUGUUGGUAGAGAAGAACGUUGGUGAGAGUGGAAAGCUCAUCAAGUGACGGUAACUACCCAGAAAGGGACGGCUAACUACGUGCCAGCAGCCGCGGUAAUACGUAGGUCCCGAGCGUUGUCCGGAUUUAUUGGGCGUAAAGCGAGCGCAGGUGGUUUAUUAAGUCUGGUGUAAAAGGCAGUGGCUCAACCAUUGUAUGCAUUGGAAACUGGUAGACUUGAGUGCAGGAGAGGAGAGUGGAAUUCCAUGUGUAGCGGUGAAAUGCGUAGAUAUAUGGAGGAACACCGGUGGCGAAAGCGGCUCUCUGGCCUGUAACUGACACUGAGGCUCGAAAGCGUGGGGAGCAAACAGGAUUAGAUACCCUGGUAGUCC
Molecule: ribosomal RNA, 805 nt
Filed under: uncultured bacterium
Lineage: Bacteria
Description: bacterial SSU rRNA
Rfam family: Bacterial small subunit ribosomal RNA
Source: RNAcentral